UGUGCACCAGUGGGGUCCCUCGGCCUGGCCUGUGCCCUCUCGCAAUCCAGGACCCCUCAGGAGAUGUCGGAGAGCCAGUUUCGACCAGAUCCUGCAGGCCAGGCUGAGGGACCCCACUGGUGCAUG
This 126-nucleotide microRNA precursor is filed under the name Myotis lucifugus (little brown bat). Its description in RNAcentral is "mir-9193 microRNA precursor family". Lineage: Eukaryota; Metazoa; Chordata; Mammalia; Chiroptera; Vespertilionidae. The record is from Rfam by way of RNAcentral.